CAGACACACAGGAUAUUAAACCUGUUUCAAGCCCUUUGAACCUGUCACUGUUUGUCCUCCGUCACUAACAGACAAGUUCUUACAACUCUCC
Molecule: long non-coding RNA, 91 nt
Organism: Etheostoma spectabile (orangethroat darter)
Lineage: Eukaryota; Metazoa; Chordata; Actinopteri; Perciformes; Percidae
Exons: 3
Source: RefSeq, a predicted model, not a curated record